This 253-nucleotide ribosomal RNA is filed under the name uncultured bacterium. Its description in RNAcentral is "partial 16S ribosomal RNA". It matches the Rfam family "Bacterial small subunit ribosomal RNA", at positions 524 to 776 of the family's 1533-position model. The record is from RNAcentral.
GACGAGGGAUCCUAGCGUUGUUCGGAAUCAUUGGGCGUAAAGGGUGCGUAGGUGGCUAUGUAAGUCAGUUGUGAAAUCCCCGGGCUCAACCCGGGAAGUGCUUCUGAUACUGCGUAGCUUGAAUAUUGGAGAGGUGAGUGGAAUUCCAGGUGUAGUGGUGAAAUUCGUAGAUAUUGGGAAGAACACCGGUGGCGAAGGCGGCUCACUGGCUCAUUACUGACGCUCAGGCGCGACAGCGUGGGGAUCAAACAGG